This 419-nucleotide long non-coding RNA is filed under the name Heterocephalus glaber (naked mole-rat). Its description in RNAcentral is "lncRNA (ENSHGLG00100045895.1)". The record is from RNAcentral. Lineage: Eukaryota; Metazoa; Chordata; Mammalia; Rodentia; Bathyergidae.
CACUUAUCCAUAUAAUCCCUCAAUUUAAUUAUAAUGUACCUUUGUUUCCAACCCAGUUCUAUGCUCUCCUAUCUCCUCUGGGAUCUUCAUCCAUGUUUAAAAACAGACAAACAGAAAACUUAUCUCUUGACUUGAGUUUCUGCUUCAAUCUGGAUUUUGACAACUUUUCUUUCUGUCCAUUCUGUUCUGCCACCUUCCACAUGCCCUCCUGCUCCUACGAAGCCUGCCUGAUGCACACUAGAUGAUGCAAAGGACUGUCCCCUGUCUGAUGACAUCCACCUGCCCAUGGCUUCUCCCACAGACAGGAAGAGGUGGACCCGUUACUACGGCAACAAGCAGUGAGGUGAUGACACUACGCUCAGGCUGCCAGCCCUGCAGGUGGGAGUUCUCCCAGUACUUUAGAACUCAGCACUUCGGGC